UACGUAGGGUGCAAGCGUUAAUCGGAAUUACUGGGCGUAAAGCGUGCGCAGGCGGUUUUGUAAGUCUGUCGUGAAAUCCCCGGGCUCAACCUGGGAAUUGCGAUGGAGACUGCAAGGCUAGAAUCUGGCAGAGGGGGGUAGAAUUCCACGUGUAGCAGUGAAAUGCGUAGAGAUGUGGAGGAACACCGAUGGCGAAGGCGGCCCCCUGGG
This 210-nucleotide ribosomal RNA is filed under the name uncultured bacterium. Its description in RNAcentral is "partial 16S ribosomal RNA". It matches the Rfam family "Bacterial small subunit ribosomal RNA", at positions 524 to 733 of the family's 1533-position model. The record is from RNAcentral.